Molecule: long non-coding RNA, 810 nt
Organism: Acomys russatus (golden spiny mouse)
Lineage: Eukaryota; Metazoa; Chordata; Mammalia; Rodentia; Muridae
Exons: 2
Source: RefSeq, a predicted model, not a curated record
UUGUUUUUUUUAAUUUUUUUAAAAAAAAUUUUGUAUGCUAAAGAGAAUGAGUCCUUAAUUUCAACAUUUUGUUGUGUUUAAAUAAUGAUAAGCAUUGUUAAUUUUUGUAACCAGCUCACAGCUUUGCAAACUCAAUAGGUAGAGCAUGAAGCUGUGUCUUGGCCUUAUUAGGAAGACAAAAGGCUUCCUGUGUUUUGAGUAUUUGGGCUGUUUCAGCAAUGUUAAGGUGGCAUUGGGGACUCUGAGGCAUUUCAGCACUGUCAAGGUGGCACUGGGGACUCUGAGUUUCCCAUACUGUAUCCAAAGAUUUUGGCACUAGCCUUUGCCAUAGUAGGCACAGUUCCUCUCCUCACACUGGUGUUGGGUGUGUGAGCAGCCAGAGCUGCUGUGAGAAAGCAUGGAGAGCAAACAUCUGUUCUGUGCCUCUUACUGGAGAAUGAGAUUCCUUUGCUUGGGGAUGAAGCAACCAGGGUAGAAAGCAGAAUUCUCUCCAGUAAUCCAGUUAGCUUUGGCUUUCUUGAUAUUCGCCCCCAAAUACUUGUGUGGGGUGUUGACUAUAAGAGACGUGUGGGUUUUUUAUUUUUAUAAUUGUAUAAAAUUAAGCAAAUUUCAAAUGUUUUAUAUACUUUAUUAAUGGUUUUUUUUUUCAAAAGGUACUUUCUUAUAGACAUGAUACUUUUUUUUUUUUUUACAGGUUCCAUUGCUUGUCUUUUGGUAUUUUUGUGUUGUGGGCUAUGGUGAGCCAGAGGCAAAUCUAUAAGCCACUUUUGUUUGCCAGGACAUGCAAUAAAAUUUAAAAAUAAAUGAAAA